RNAcentral lists this ribosomal RNA (417 nucleotides) under uncultured bacterium. Its description in RNAcentral is "bacterial SSU rRNA". It matches the Rfam family "Bacterial small subunit ribosomal RNA", at positions 360 to 793 of the family's 1533-position model. The record is from RNAcentral.
AAUCUUGGACAAUGGGCGCAAGCCUGAUCCAGCCAUGCCGCGUGAGUGAUGAAGGCCCUAGGGUCGUAAAGCUCUUUCGCCAGGGGAUGAUAAUGACAGUACCUGGUAAAGAAACCCCGGCUAACUCCGUGCCAGCAGCCGCGGUAAUACGGAGGGGUUAGCGUUGUUCGGAAUUACUGGGCGUAAAGCGCGCGUAGGCGGAUUAGUCAGUUAGAGGUGAAAUCCCAGGGCUCAACCCUGGAACUGCCUUUAAUUACUGCUAGUCUUGAGUUCGAGAGAGGUGAGUGGAAUUCCGAGUGUAGAGGUGAAAUUCGUAGAUAUUCGGAGGAACACCAGUGGCGAAGGCGGCUCACUGGCUCGAUACUGACGCUGAGGUGCGAAAGUGUGGGGAGCAAACAGGAUUAGAUACCCUGGUAG